Molecule: ribosomal RNA, 403 nt
Filed under: uncultured bacterium
Lineage: Bacteria
Description: partial 16S ribosomal RNA
Rfam family: Bacterial small subunit ribosomal RNA
Source: RNAcentral
GACGAACGCUGGCGGCGUGCCUAAUACAUGCAAGUCGAACGCAGUGGGGACGGGUGAGUAACACGUGGGUAACCUCCCAUCAGAGGGGAUAACACUUGGAAACAGGUGCUAAACCGAUACUGAUGGAUGGACCAGCGGUGCAUUAGCUAGUUGGUGCGGUAACGGCUCACCAGGGCCACGAUGCAUAGCCGACCUGAGAGGGUGGUCGGCCACCGUGGGACUGCGAAACGGCCCAGGCCCCUUAGGUAGGCAGCGAUAAGGAAACUUCGGCCAUGGACGAAAGUCUGACCGAGCAACGCCUCGUGAGGGAAGAAGGUUUUCGGAUCGGAAACCUCUGUUGUUAGAGAAGCGGUAUCUAACCAGAAAGCCACGGCUAACUACGUGCCAGCAGCCGCGGUAAUUC